CGAUGGACUAGAAAUCCAUUGUGGUCUCCCGCACAGGUUCGAAUCCUGUCGACUGCG
This 57-nucleotide transfer RNA is filed under the name Ixodes scapularis (black-legged tick). It matches the Rfam family "tRNA", at positions 24 to 71 of the family's 71-position model. Rfam says of the family: Transfer RNA (tRNA) molecules are approximately 80 nucleotides in length. The record is from Rfam by way of RNAcentral. Lineage: Eukaryota; Metazoa; Arthropoda; Arachnida; Ixodida; Ixodidae.